RNAcentral lists this unclassified non-coding RNA (1725 nucleotides) under Human gammaherpesvirus 8. RNAcentral describes it as "T1.4". The record is from RNAcentral. Lineage: Duplodnaviria; Heunggongvirae; Peploviricota; Herviviricetes; Herpesvirales; Orthoherpesviridae.
GCGGCGGCACGUAGGACGGAUCUCUUGGAUUUACCUGUAACGAGGAGCGGCGCACCCCAGGAGCCCCGGCAGCACCCCAGGAGCCCCGGCAGCACCCCAGGAGCCCCGGCAGCACCCCAGGAGCCCCGGCAGCACCCCAGGAGCCCCGGCAGCACCCCAGGAGCCCCGGCAGCACCCCAGGAGCCCCGGCAGCACCCCAGGAGCCCCGGCAGCACCCCAGGAGCCCCGGCAGCACCCCAGGAGCCCCGGCAGCACCCCAGGAGCCCCGGCAGCACCCCAGGAGCCCCGGCAGCACCCCAGGAGCCCCGGCAGCACCCCAGGAGCCCCGGCAGCACCCCAGGAGCCCCGGCAGCACCCCAGGAGCCCCGGCAGCACCCCAGGAGCCCCGGCAGCACCCCAGGAGCCCCGGCAGCACCCCAGGAGCCCCGGCAGCACCCCAGGAGCCCCGGCAGCACCCCAGGAGCCCCGGCAGCACCCCAGGAGCCCCGGCAGCACCCCAGGAGCCCCGGCAGCACCCCAGGAGCCCCGGCAGCACCCCAGGAGCCCCGGCAGCACCCCAGGAGCCCCGGUACGCAACCCUCCCCCGGGAACCCCGGCAGCACCCCGGGAACCCCGGCAGCACCCCGGGAACCCCGGCAGCACCCCAGGAGCCCCGGCAGCACCCCAGGAGCCCCGGUACGCAACCCUCCCCCGGGAACCCCGGCAGCACCCCAGGAGCCCCGGCAGCACUCCAGGAGCCCCGGCAGCACCCCAGGAGCCCCGGCAGCACCCCAGGAGCCCCGGCAGCACCCCAGGAGCCCCGGCAGCACCCCAGGAGCCCCGGCAGCACCCCAGGAGCCCCGGCAGCACCCCAGGAGCCCCGGCAGCACCCCAGGAGCCCCGGCAGCACCCCAGGAGCCCCGGCAGCACCCCAGGAGCCCCGGUACGCAACCCUCCCCCAGGAGCCCCGGCAGCACCCCAGGAGCCCCGGCAGCACCCCAGGAGCCCCGGCAGCACCCCAGGAGCCCCGGCGCCACCCUCCCCCCGGAGGGGGAUCCCGGCGCGCCACCCUCCCCCCGGAGGGGGAUCCCGGCGCGCCACCCUCCCCCCGGAGGGGGAUCCCGGCGCGCCACCCUCCCCCCGGAGGGGGAUCCCGGCGCGCCACCCUCCCCCCGGAGGGGGAUCCCGGCGCGCCACCCUCCCCGGCAACAACCUGUUGCCAUGUAUUGCGAUUUGUAUCAGUCACAAGCACACAACCCCUUCUAGUAUUAAUGAUGUUUAAAACGUUCUACACGUACGGCGGACCGCAUCCGUCGCAAGCACGCGCAUAUAACCCCCAAAUGCACCAUGAUGAGAAGCACAGCCACGCGUCAAAAAACUUUAAAAACAUCGUUAUCCAAUAUUAAAAACCACACCGAAAUUUACACAGGUGGCACGUUACCGUGUUAGUGUCACCCACUGUACACAAGGCGUGUCGUAUAUGUAGUAUAGGUAUUUGAUGAGGCGGAAGCAUAUCCCGCUUCCAGCGAACGGAAAUAAGGAUCAUCCGUUCCAGCAUUUAUUCAAAGGGGGCACAGAGGGUUCACAUUGUUUAGAGAGAGUUUUUCUUAGUAACCAUUCCAUACUUUGGCAGUAUUGGCCUACGAUUUGGGCGACGUUUCAGGCUGGUCUAUUCUCCGUCCACUUUUCCCCGGCUAUUCUAUCCCAGCAUAGGCUCUUGAAAUAAACAAUGUUUACCGAGUAAAA